Molecule: unclassified non-coding RNA, 92 nt
Filed under: Chryseobacterium scophthalmum
Lineage: Bacteria; Pseudomonadati; Bacteroidota; Flavobacteriia; Flavobacteriales; Weeksellaceae
Description: Flavo-1 RNA
Source: RNAcentral
UUUUAGCCCGGAUUGAACGGUAUGUUUGAGCUCUUUUUGCUGCAAAGAAAAAGCUUGGCGCAAAAAAGCGAGUAGUGAAAGCUGGAAUAAGC